CCUACGGGAGGCAGCAGUGAGGAAUAUUGGUCAAUGGGCGCGAGCCUGAACCAGCCAAGUAGCGUGAAGGAUGACGGCCCUACGGGUUGUAAACUGCUUUUAUAAAGGAAUAAAGUGAGGCACGUGUGCCUUUUUGUAUGUACUUUAUGAAUAAGGAGCGGCUAACUUCGCGCCAGCAGCCGCGGUAAUACGGAGGAGCCGAGCGUUAUACGGAUUUAUUGGGUUUAAAGGGAGCGUAGAUGGGUUUUUAAGUCAGUUGUGAAAGUUUGCGGCUCAACCGUGAAAUUGCAAUUGAUACUGGCAGCCUUGAGUACAGUUGAGGAAGGCGGAAUUCGUGGUGUAGCGGUGAAAUGCUUAGAUAUCACGAAGAACUCCGAUCGCGAAGGCAGCCUACU
RNAcentral lists this ribosomal RNA (395 nucleotides) under uncultured bacterium. RNAcentral's name for it is "partial 16S ribosomal RNA". It matches the Rfam family "Bacterial small subunit ribosomal RNA", at positions 338 to 730 of the family's 1533-position model. The record is from RNAcentral.